RNAcentral lists this long non-coding RNA (331 nucleotides) under Ananas comosus (pineapple). RNAcentral describes it as "long non-coding RNA (ACOM_LNC023357)". The record is from RNAcentral. Lineage: Eukaryota; Viridiplantae; Streptophyta; Magnoliopsida; Poales; Bromeliaceae.
GUUCCCAGUGGGUACGGCCACCCAAGGGAGGAACUCGACCAAUAGGUCCAAGGAGGCAACUGCAGAUUAGUUUAAUAAACAGAUAGAUAGAUAUUUGACUAUGCAAUUAAUAAAACCAUACAUUGCCUCGCUAAUGCAAUAUGAAUAUUAUGCAACUAUGCAACUGCAUAAUCAACUAGUAGAUAUGUUAAUUCUACAUUUACUUUGCUACUUUAGCUCAUUUCAUUCAAUUGUAAGGUUUCCAUUACCUUAUGUUCACAACUCAAGUUCAACUUGCUUCUAAGGUCUCUAUUACCUCAGGUUCUUGCCUCGAUCACUAGCUUAUAAGGUU